This 254-nucleotide ribosomal RNA is filed under the name uncultured bacterium. RNAcentral's name for it is "partial 16S ribosomal RNA". It matches the Rfam family "Bacterial small subunit ribosomal RNA", at positions 524 to 776 of the family's 1533-position model. The record is from RNAcentral.
UACGUAGGGGGCGAGCGUUUGUCCGGAUUCAUUGGGCGUAAAGCGCGCGUAGGCGGCUCGACAAGUCGGCCGUGAAAUCUCCAGGCUCAACUUGGAGGGGUCGGGCGAGACUGUCGGGCUCGAGGUGGGCAGAGGGCAGUGGAAUUCCGGGUGUAGUGGUGGAAUGCGUAGAGAUCCGGAGGAACACCAGUGGCGAAGGCGGCUGCCUGGGCCUGGCCUGACGCUGAGGCGCGAAAGCGUGGGGAGCGAUCCGG